Molecule: ribosomal RNA, 497 nt
Filed under: uncultured bacterium
Lineage: Bacteria
Description: partial 16S ribosomal RNA
Rfam family: Bacterial small subunit ribosomal RNA
Source: RNAcentral
GAUGAACGCUGGCGGCGUGCCUAAUACAUGCAAGUCGAGCGAACAGACGAGGAGCUUGCUCCUCUGACGUUAGCGGCGGACGGGUGAGUAACACGUGGAUAACCUACCUAUAAGACUGGGAUAACUUCGGGAAACCGGAGCUAAUACCGGAUAAUAUAUUGAACCGCAUGGUUCAAUAGUGAAAGACGGUUUUGCUGUCACUUAUAGAUGGAUCCGCGCCGCAUUAGCUAGUUGGUAAGGUAACGGCUUACCAAGGCGACGAUGCGUAGCCGACCUGAGAGGGUGAUCGGCCACACUGGAACUGAGACACGGUCCAGACUCCUACGGGAGGCAGCAGUAGGGAAUCUUCCGCAAUGGGCGAAAGCCUGACGGAGCAACGCCGCGUGAGUGAUGAAGGUCUUCGGAUCGUAAAACUCUGUUAUUAGGGAAGAACAAAUGUGUAAGUAACUAUGCCCGUCUUGACGGUACCUAAUCAGAAAGCAACGGCUAACUACGUG